This 451-nucleotide ribosomal RNA is filed under the name uncultured bacterium. RNAcentral's name for it is "bacterial SSU rRNA". It matches the Rfam family "Bacterial small subunit ribosomal RNA", at positions 28 to 468 of the family's 1533-position model. The record is from RNAcentral.
GAUGAACGCUAGCUACAGGCUUAACACAUGCAAGUCGAGGGGCAGCAUGGUCUUAGCUUGCUAAGGCCGAUGGCGACCGGCGCACGGGUGAGUAACACGUAUCCAACCUGCCGUCUACUCUUGGACAGCCUUCUGAAAGGAAGAUUAAUACAAGAUGGCAUCAUGAGUUCACAUGUUCACAUGAUUAAAGGUAUUCCGGUAGACGAUGGGGAUGCGUUCCAUUAGAUAGUAGGCGGGGUAACGGCCCACCUAGUCUUCGAUGGAUAGGGGUUCUGAGAGGAAGGUCCCCCACAUUGGAACUGAGACACGGUCCAAACUCCUACGGGAGGCAGCAGUGAGGAAUAUUGGUCAAUGGGCGCAGGCCUGAACCAGCCAAGUAGCGUGAAGGAUGACUGCCCUAUGGGUUGUAAACUUCUUUUAUAAAGGAAUAAAGUCGGGUAUGUAUACCCGU